AGGGCAGCCCCAUGGUCUGGCCAAGGGUCCCAGAGAGGAAGUGGCCAACCUCAGGGCUUACGCUUUUCCCUUCUGGGAGCUCAGCUUCAUGGUGAGGAGGGCAGCCUUCCCUCCGGCAUGACCUGGGCACACGACUUCACCUUUCUGUGGGCCACCUGUGGUAGGUGCCGGGGAAGUGCUAAGCCAGCAUGCAGUAGGUGCUCAGUAAAUGCAGGGUUGGUGUGCAGCAGGUGCUCAGUAAUGCAGGGCUGGUACACAGUAGGUGCUUAGUGAAUGCAGGGCUGGUACAUAGUAGGUGCUCAGCAAAUGUGGGGCCAGUGUGCAGUGGGUGCUCAGUAAUGCUGGGUCUGUGUACAGUGGGUGCUCAGUAAAUGCUGGGCCAGCAUGCAAUAGGUGCUCAGUAAAUGUGGGGCCGGGGCAGGUUGGUGUGCAGCAGGUGCUCAGUAAUGCAGGACUAGUGCACAGUAGGUGCUCAGUAAUGCUGGGGUUGU
This 491-nucleotide long non-coding RNA is filed under the name Homo sapiens (human). Its description in RNAcentral is "HSALNT0254024". The record is from RNAcentral. Lineage: Eukaryota; Metazoa; Chordata; Mammalia; Primates; Hominidae.